GGUAUCCUGUCUGAAUAUGGGGGGACCAUCCUCCAAGGCUAAAUACUCCUGACUGACCGAUAGUGAACCAGUACCGUGAGGGAAAGGCGAAAAGAACCCCGGCGAGGGGAGUGAAAAAGAACCUGAAACCGUGUACGUACAAGCAGUGGGAGCCUCUUUUAUGGGGUGACUGCGUACCUUUUGUAUAAUGGGUCAGCGACUUAUAUUCUGUAGCAAGGUUAACCGAAUAGGGGAGCCGAAGGGAAACCGAGUCUUAACUGGGCGUUAAGUUGCAGGGUAUAGACCCGAAACCCGGUGAUCUAGCCAUGGGCAGGUUGAAGGUUGGGUAACACUAACUGGAGGACCGAACCGACUAAUGUUGAAAAAUUAGCGGAUGACUUGUGGCUGGGGGUGAAAGGCCAAUCAAACCGGGAGAUAGCUGGUUCUCCCCGAAAGCUAUUUAGGUAGCGCCUCGUGAAUUCAUCUCCGGGGGUAGAGCACUGUUUCGGCAAGGGGGUCAUCCCGACUUACCAACCCGAUGCAAACUGCGAAUACCGGAGAAUGUUAUCACGGGAGACACACGGCGGGUGCUAACGUCCGUCGUGAAGAGGGAAACAACCCAGACCGCCAGCUAAGGUCCCAAAGUCAUGGUUAAGUGGGAAACGAUGUGGGAAGGCCCAGACAGCCAGGAUGUUGGCUUAGAAGCAGCCAUCAUUUAAAGAAAGCGUAAUAGCUCACUGGUCGAGUCGGCCUGCGCGGAAGAUGUAACGGGGCUAAACCAUG
This 762-nucleotide ribosomal RNA is filed under the name Escherichia coli. RNAcentral describes it as "partial 23S ribosomal RNA". It matches the Rfam family "Bacterial large subunit ribosomal RNA", at positions 428 to 1191 of the family's 2925-position model. The record is from RNAcentral. Lineage: Bacteria; Pseudomonadati; Pseudomonadota; Gammaproteobacteria; Enterobacterales; Enterobacteriaceae.